RNAcentral lists this transfer RNA (80 nucleotides) under Perkinsus marinus ATCC 50983. It matches the Rfam family "tRNA". From Rfam's summary of the family: Transfer RNA (tRNA) molecules are approximately 80 nucleotides in length. Their secondary structure includes four short double-helical elements and three loops (D, anti-codon, and T loops). The record is from Rfam by way of RNAcentral. Lineage: Eukaryota; Perkinsozoa; Perkinsida; Perkinsidae.
GAGAGUUUGGCCGAAUGGUCUAAGGCGCUGGCUUAAAGCGCCAGUCCGAAAGGGCGUGGGUUCGAACCCCACAGCUGUCA